Scylla paramamosain (green mud crab) is the source of this 751-nucleotide long non-coding RNA. RefSeq lists it as uncharacterized. The transcript has 3 exons. The record is from RefSeq and is a predicted model, not a curated record. Lineage: Eukaryota; Metazoa; Arthropoda; Malacostraca; Decapoda; Portunidae.
CUCCAUCUUAUGGCAGCAUAUAUUUUCAACACAGAGUGAGGGCAGUGUCAUUCCUCCUGUCCACUACCCCAACUUCUACUCCCAACACUACCACAACAAUGAGCGGUCUGGUGUGGUGGCUGAGGAUUCUUUUGAAGAGGACAAUGCUUCUGCUUCAUCUGAGCAGCUUGAAGCUGCCUGCAGAAAUAGGCAAAACAGCAACUGACGAAAGAAUAAAGUUGAAGGAAACUGGAGUUUCCCUGCAAAACAAGCUAUCAAGAAGACCUAUACAAUGUGUGUUCAAAGUGUCUGGCUAAGAGUUGGAGAUCUGGCAGAGAAGCUGUGGCCAGAGGAAGGAGGCUUGGCUGCUGCACCAGACCCAUAGACCACAUCUUUGGAGUGGCUUUGGCCUUGAGGUGCAGCCAGGUAGCUGUAGCUCACCACCUGCCAGAGAAAAGCUUUUUUAACCUCACUGCCUGCCAGGGAAGAGCUUUUUUAAUUUCCAUUUUAAUCUUACAUGAUUAAGGUCAUAUGAUUAAUAGUUAUACCAUCUUCUGUAUAUCUAGCCUGGAGGUUGAGAUGUGAUGGAAUGAUUCCAAAUGUGAAUGUAUACCAUAUUAAAUCCUUGUCUCUACUUUCCUCCAAAUGAGAUCCAUGGGCCUUGUAAAAAAAAGUUGGGAGUCCAAUCUUUUAAAACUAGUAACUCUAAUAUUAGAGAUUUGAGAGACAGAAUGAAGCAUAAUUAAAGCUUUGAUAAGCAUUUAUAAAUCUG